RNAcentral lists this non-coding RNA (26 nucleotides) under Mus musculus (house mouse). Lineage: Eukaryota; Metazoa; Chordata; Mammalia; Rodentia; Muridae. The record is from RNAcentral.
UGGCUUCUAUUAUGCAAUUUCUUCUC